AUUGAACGCUGGCGGCAGGCCUAACACAUGCAAUUCGAGCGGAUGAAGGUAGCUUGCUCCUGGAUUCAGCGGCGGACGGGUGAUUAAUGCCUAGGAAUCUGCCUGGUAGUGGGGGAUAACGUCCGGAAACGGGCGCUAAUACCGCAUACGUCCUGAUGGUGAAAGUGUGGGUUCUUCGGACCUCCCGCUUUCAGAUGAGCCUAGGUCGGUUGAGCUAGUUGGGGGGGUAAAGGCCUACCAAGGCGACGAUCCGUAACUGGUCUGAGAGGAUGAUCAGUCACACUGGAACUGAGACACGGUACAGAGUCCUACGGGAGGCAGAAGUGGGGAAUAUUGGAAAAUGGGCGAAAGACUGAUCAAGCCAUGCCGCGUGGGUGAAGAAGGGCUUCGGAUUGUAAAGCACUUUAAGUGGGGAGAAAGGGCAGUAAGUUAAUAGAUUGCUGUUGUGACGUUACCAACAGAAUAAGCACCGGCUAACUUCGUG
This 484-nucleotide ribosomal RNA is filed under the name uncultured bacterium. RNAcentral describes it as "partial 16S ribosomal RNA". It matches the Rfam family "Bacterial small subunit ribosomal RNA", at positions 30 to 507 of the family's 1533-position model. The record is from RNAcentral.